Molecule: ribosomal RNA, 774 nt
Filed under: uncultured Neocallimastigales
Lineage: Eukaryota; Fungi; Neocallimastigomycota; Neocallimastigomycetes; Neocallimastigales
Description: partial large subunit ribosomal RNA
Rfam family: Eukaryotic large subunit ribosomal RNA
Source: RNAcentral
CGCAUCUGUGCAUGCAGCAUAUCAAUAAGCGGAGGAAAAGAAACUAACAAGGAUUCCCCUAGUAACGGCGAGUGAAGCGGGAAGAGCUCAAAUUUGAAAUCUUAAAGGGUUUCCCUUUACGAAUUGUAGUUUAAAGAAGUGUUUUCUGUUGAGGUUUUGGUAAAAGUUCUUUGGAAUAGGACAUCAUAGAGGGUGAGAAUCCCGUAUUUGACCUUUACUUUCAACUUUGUGAUACACUUUCAAAGAGUCGGAUUGUUUGGGAAUGCAGUCCAAAAUGAGUGGUAAAUUUCAUCUAAAGCUAAAUAUUGGCGAGAGACCGAUAGCGAACAAGUACCGUGAGGGAAAGAUGAAAAGAACUUUGAAAAGAGAGUUAAACAGUACGUGAAAUUGUCAAAAGGGAAGCGUUUGACACCAGUGUUGUUUUUCUGAAAAUCAAUUAAAGAACUGUUUAUGCUAAGCUGUUUAGACUUUAUCAGCUAACUGUUUAGUUUUGAGCUUUUCUUUAAUGCACUUUUCAGUUAACAAGUCAACAUCAAUUUCUUUUGCUGUAGAAAAGCUUGAGGAAGGUGGCUUGAGAUUCGUCUUAAGUGUUUAUAGCCUCUUGCCUAUGCAGUCGGAGAGAUUGAGGUCUGCAGCGUAGAUCCUUCGGGGCUAAAUGCAUUUGUGCUAAGUUAUAGCAUUUUAUAGACAACUUGUUGACUAUGAUUUGUCUUGUAGCUUACUCGCUUAUGUUAUUUUACCUACGCUUAGGAUGUUGAGUCAUCACACAUCUCU